This 465-nucleotide unclassified non-coding RNA is filed under the name Leptolyngbya sp. YJ-2. RNAcentral's name for it is "partial 16S-23S ribosomal RNA intergenic spacer region". The stretch from base 1 to 144 matches the Rfam family "Bacterial small subunit ribosomal RNA", at positions 1391 to 1533 of the family's 1533-position model. Lineage: Bacteria; Bacillati; Cyanobacteriota; Cyanophyceae; Leptolyngbyales; Leptolyngbyaceae. The record is from RNAcentral.
CGCCGUCACACCAUGGGAGUUGGCCACGCCCGAAGUCGUUACUCUAACCUUUCGAGGAGGAGGGCGCCGAAGGCAGGGCUGAUGACUGGGGUGAAGUCGUAACAAGGUAGCCGUACCGGAAGGUGUGGCUGGAUCACCUCCUUUUAGGGAGACCUACCCUUAGUGCUACCGAGGCAAUUAUUGCUAGGUGCACGAGAGGUCAACCAAGGUCGUUCGAGAAUGCGAAACAAAGCUUCCAAACUUGUCUAGGUUUUUUAUGAGCUAAGGACGAGAAAGAUUCAGCACCUUAUCUAGAGAGAUACUAGAGAGCCUGCUGGAUGAAGAGUCCGGCAAAGAACCUUGAAAAUUGCAUAGUGAAGAAAGAAAUUCUGUCAGGUAGUUAACUCAGGGAACUGAGAGACAAACCUAAAGAGCCACCAAAAGUUGAUGAAGGUCAAGCUAAGAAGGGCUCACGGUGGAUACCUA